GAACGAACGCUGGCGGCGUGCCUAACACAUGCAAGUCGAACGAGAAAGUUUCCUUCGGGAAACCAGUAAAGUGGCGCAAGGGUGAGUAACACGUGAAUAAUCUGCCUACGAACUCGGGAUAACUCGACGAAAGUUGUGCUAAUACCGGAUAAGACCACUCUUCUUAUGUAGAGUGGCCAAAGGAGUCUCAAACUCCGUUUGUAGAUGAGUUCGCGGACCAUUAGCUAGUUGGAGGGAUAAUAGCCCCCCAAGGCUACGAUGGUUAGCCGGCCUGAGAGGGUGAUCGGCCACACUGGAACUGAGACACGGUCCAGACUCCUACGGGAGGCAGCAGUGGGGAAUAUUGCGCAAUGGGCGAAAGCCUGACGCAGCAACGCCGCGUGAGGGAUGAAGGUUUUAGGAUCGUAAACCUCUGUCGGAUGGGAAGAAUAAUGACGGUACCAUCAGAGGAAGCCCCGGCUAACUCCGUGCCAGCAGCCGCGGUAAUACGGAGGGGGCAAGCGUUGUUCGGAAUUAUUGGGCGUAAAGCGUAUGUAGGCGGUUAGACAAGUCAAGCGUGUAAGCCCGUGGCUCAACCACGGAAUUGCGUUUGAAACUGUCUAACUUGAGUGCAGGAGAGGAAAGCGGAAUUCCCAGUGUAGCGGUGAAAUGCAUUGAUAUCUGAAGGAACACCAGUGGCGAAGGCGGCUCUCUGGACCAAUACUGACGCUGAGGUGCGAAAGCGUGGGUAGCAAACGGGAUUAGAUACCCCGGUAGUCCACGCCGUAAACGAUGUCAACUAACUGUUGGGCGGGUUUCCCCGCUUAGUGGUGCAGCUAAAGCAAUAAGUUGACCGCCUGGGGAGUACGGCCGCAAGGCUAAAACUCAAAUGAAUUGACGGGGGCCCGCACAAGCGGUGGAGCAUGUGGUUUAAUUCGAUGCAACGCGAAGAACCUUACCUACCCUUGACAUACAGAGAACUUUCUAGAGAUAGAUUGGUGCCUUCGGGAACUCUGAUACAGGUGCUGCAUGGCUGUCGUCAGCUCGUGUCGUGAGAUGUUGGGUUAAGUCCCGUAACGAGCGCAACCCUUAUCCUUAGUUGCUACCAUUUAGUUGGGCACUUCUAGGGAAACUGCCGGUGACAAGCCGGAGGAAGGCGGGGAUGACGUCAAGUCCUCAUGGCCCUUAUAGGCUGGGCUACACACGUGCUACAAUGGCGGUGACAGUGGGCGGCGACCCCGCGAGGGUGAGCUAAUCCCCAAAAGCCGUCUCAGUUCGGAUUGCACUCUGCAACUCGAGUGCAUGAAGUUGGAAUCGCUAGUAAUCGCGGAUCAGAAUGCCGCGGUGAAUACGUUCCCGGGCCUUGUACACACCGC
This 1355-nucleotide ribosomal RNA is filed under the name uncultured prokaryote. RNAcentral describes it as "partial 16S ribosomal RNA". It matches the Rfam family "Bacterial small subunit ribosomal RNA", at positions 27 to 1393 of the family's 1533-position model. The record is from RNAcentral.